UAGUGAGUACACUAGGGUAGCUGGGUCAUCUCCAAAUGGUAACUGAGUGUUUGCGCCAGCAGGAUUGAAGGAGUCACUGGGGAUGAAGAUCACUGCUCAGGGGCUCAUCUUUCCGGAGAAGCGUCCUCAUGGUGCAGGCGGUCAAACCUCCACCUCUUUGAAGAGACCAAGCAGCUUGAUGACUGACUGGUUCUUUAUACUCAAGACCUCGUCCCGGAGCAGAGGACGGACCUAAGGCCCGCAGCGCAGCAGACUAGAGACUCCAUGUGGAACCGGUUCAAUUAAGUUGACCUCUCCUUCAGGCGACUUAAAGGGAGACCAGAUGUGCGGCAGCUGGGUGUCAUCGUGCAGAGACCCAACGCUGUACUGAACUACACCAGUGUGUCCUCCCAUAAACCCUGAGGAUCCCUGGAUGGCUACACCAGCACAUUAAUCCACACCCAACAUCAACACACAGUGCACACUCUAUAGAGCUCGUAAGUCCGCCCCUUGCGGCGGGACCUCGUGAGAUCGUAAGUUAUGACUGGGUU
Molecule: long non-coding RNA, 530 nt
Organism: Gadus macrocephalus (Pacific cod)
Lineage: Eukaryota; Metazoa; Chordata; Actinopteri; Gadiformes; Gadidae
Exons: 4
Source: RefSeq, a predicted model, not a curated record